CGGUUCACUUUAACACUGAGGCGUGACGACGAGGCACUACGGUGCUGAAGCAACAAAUGCCCUGCUUCCAGGAAAAGCCUCUAAGCAUCAGGUAACAUCAAAUCGUACCCCAAACCGACACAGGUGGUCAGGUAGAGAAUACCAAGGCGCUUGAGAGAACUCGGGUGAAGGAACUAGGCAAAAUGGUGCCGUAACUUCGGGAGAAGGCACGCUGACAUGUAGGUGAAGUGAUUUACUCAUGGAGCUGAAGUCAGUCGAAGAUACCAGCUGGCUGCAACUGUUUAUUAAAAACACAGCACUGUGCAAACACGAAAGUGGACGUAUACGGUGUGACGCCUGCCCGGUGCCGGAAGGUUAAUUGAUGGGGUCAGCGCAAGCGAAGCUCCUGAUCGAAGCCCCGGUAAACGGCGGCCGUAACUAUAACGGUCCUAAGGUAGCGAAAUUCCUUGUCGGGUAAGUUCCGACCUGCACGAAUGGCGUAAUGAUGGCCAGGCUGUCUCCACCCGAGACUCAGUGAAAUUGAACUCGCUGUGAAGAUGCAGUGUACCCGCGGCAAGACGGAAAGACCCCGUGAACCUUUACUAUAGCUUGACACUGAACAUUGAGCCUUGAUGUGUAGGAUAGGUGGGAGGCUUUGAAGUGUGGACGCCAGUCUGCAUGGAGCCGACCUUGAAAUACCACCCUUUAAUGUUUGAUGUUCUAACGUGGACCCGUAAUCCGGGUUGCGGACAGUGUCUGGUGGGUAGUUUGACUGGGGCGGUCUCCUCCUAAAGAGUAACGGAGGAGCACGAAGGUUGGCUAAUCCUGGUCGGACAUCAGGAGGUUAGUGCAAUGGCAUAAGCCAGCUUGACUGCGAGCGUGACGGCGCGAGCAGGUGCGAAAGCAGGUCAUAGUGAUCCGGUGGUUCUGAAUGGAAGGGCCAUCGCUCAACGGAUAAAAGGUACUCCGGGGAUAACAGGCUGAUACCGCCCAAGAGUUCAUAUCGACGGCGGUGUUUGGCACCUCGAUGUCGGCUCAUCACAUCCUGGGGCUGAAGUAGGUCCCAAGGGUAUGGCUGUUCGCCAUUUAAAGUGGUACGCGAGCUGGGUUUAGAACGUCGUGAGACAGUUCGGUCCCUAUCUGCCGUGGGCGCUGGAGAACUGAGGGGGGCUGCUCCUAGUACGAGAGGACCGGAGUGGACGCAUCACUGGUGUUCGGGUUGUCAUGCCAAUGGCACUGCCCGGUAGCUAAAUGCGGAAGAGAUAAGUGCUGAAAGCAUCUAAGCACGAAACUUGCCCCGA
This 1280-nucleotide ribosomal RNA is filed under the name Salmonella enterica. Its description in RNAcentral is "partial 23S ribosomal RNA". It matches the Rfam family "Bacterial large subunit ribosomal RNA", at positions 1541 to 2802 of the family's 2925-position model. The record is from RNAcentral. Lineage: Bacteria; Pseudomonadati; Pseudomonadota; Gammaproteobacteria; Enterobacterales; Enterobacteriaceae.